GGAUAUGGAAGUUUAUGAUACAACUCCUUUCUUCCACAACAUUGGUCGAGGGCUGGCUGGCAAGUGCAUGGUGAUGUUAGAUAACAAAACUUGGCUGCAAGCCCACAGAUACUUCUUGUUCAAUUAUGACAACAUAGAACCAUACCUAGACAAACAUAUGGAUUACCUUUAUUCUAUUGGUGUUCGAAGUCAUCGAGAAGUCAAGCGUGUGCAUUACGAGACCUUUCAUGAGUGGUUUAAAUUGCACGUGGCAGAAAUGGGCGAUGAAGCACCUCAUGAGAUAAAAAUAUUAGCUAAAGAGCCAAACUUGGUUGCUAUGAAGUAUAGUAGCUACACUAUAAAUGGGAUAGACUUUCAUACACAAUCAUAUGAUGAGGGUCGGUCAUUUCAGAGUAGUGGAGUAGCUCUUGUUGCACAAACCACAUCCUUUGCAAAAGGAAAAGGUGACAAUAUU
Triticum aestivum (bread wheat) is the source of this 454-nucleotide long non-coding RNA. RefSeq lists it as uncharacterized. The transcript has 3 exons. NCBI's taxonomy places the organism in Eukaryota, Viridiplantae, Streptophyta, Magnoliopsida, Poales, Poaceae. The record is from RefSeq and is a predicted model, not a curated record.